GCAGUGGUGGCUCAGUGGUUAAGGUUCUGGAUUACUGAUCAGAAGGUCAGGGGAUCAAACCCCCAAGCUGCCACUGUU
Molecule: non-coding RNA, 78 nt
Organism: Pangasianodon gigas (Mekong giant catfish)
Lineage: Eukaryota; Metazoa; Chordata; Actinopteri; Siluriformes; Pangasiidae
Source: the annotation of a GenBank genome assembly